Molecule: ribosomal RNA, 509 nt
Filed under: uncultured Glomeraceae
Lineage: Eukaryota; Fungi; Glomeromycota; Glomeromycetes; Glomerales; Glomeraceae
Description: SSU rRNA
Rfam family: Eukaryotic small subunit ribosomal RNA
Source: RNAcentral
AGCAGCCGCGGUAAUUCCAGCUCCAAUAGCGUAUAUUAAAGUUGUUGCAGUUAAAAAGCUCGUAGUUGAAUUUCGGGGUCAGUAGGUUGGUCAUGCCACUGGUAUGUACUGGCCUCACUGAUUCCUCCUUCCUGAUGAGCCGUAAUGCCAUUAAUUUGGUGUUGCGAGGAAUCUGGACUGUUACUUUGAAAAAAUUAGAGUGUUUAAAGCAAGCUAACGCUUGAAUACAUUAGCAUGGAAUAAUGAAAUAGGACGUUCGAUCCUAUUUUGUUGGUUUCUAGGAUUGACGUAAUGAUUAAUAGGGAUAGUUGGGGGCAUUAGUAUUCAAUUGUCAGAGGUGAAAUUCUUGGAUUUAUUGAAGACUAACUACUGCGAAAGCAUUUGCCAAGGAUGUUUUCAUUAAUCAAGAACGAAAGUUAGGGGAUCGAAGACGAUCAGAUACCGUCGUAGUCUUAACCAUAAACUAUGCCGACUAGGGAUCGGAUGAUGUUAAUUUUUUAAUGUACUCA